UACAUUAACAGACAUUCACAACCAGCUUUCAUUAAAAGAAAACUGCAUAUUCGCAGAAGAUUUUGUUAAUGAAAUUCCAAAUGAUGAUAAUGAUGAUGAUGAUGAUGAUGAGGAUGAAGAGGAUUAUGUUAAUACUGAACAAGUUGAUAAAUGCGAUGAAAAAAAAGAUUCCCUUUCUUUAACAUGCUAUGACAAAGAUCGCGAAGUUUUGUGUUUACCAUGUAAACAUUGCAAAAUUUGUCGCGAUUGCUUCAAAAAAAUAGAAGAAUCAUCGCAAAAUAAAGGAAUAAAAGUGUUGUGUCCAUUUUGCCGUUCCAUUGCUAAGGAUAGUAUGAUAAUUUAUAAUUAAAGGUUAACGUUUAUUAGGGUUUCAUUGCCUUUAAAUAAUUUUUUUCCAAAUGAAAUCGCAAAGUUGAGGAAUAAACAUUGUGUAAACGCAGAGAUUAUAAGUUUCCUUUCAUAUAAUUUACAAUAAAUAAUGGAUAUAGUUUUUUUUUAUUUUUAUUAAUUUUUUAAAUUGUUGGCCUUUAACUGGCGGGGUGAUAUAACGUAAAAGGUGAUAAAGCAAAAUUUGCUUCACGUUAGCAGUUUUGUGGGGACGGCACAGCACGAGGCAGGAAAGCGGGGCAUGGCCCGGUUGUGAAAAUUUGUAUCUGGGAAAAACAAACAAACUUAUUCGCGAGCGGAGGGCGAUGGUAGGGGUUGUGGGGGCGCGCGCGAGGACGGCACAGCGCAGAGACGGCCGCCAAACUAUAUAUACUCACAUUUUUCCCUAAAAUAUUGAAAGCGAAAUAAUGUCACAUUUUGUUUUCAGAAAAAAUGGUACAAAUAAUUGCAAAUGGUAAUAACGUCACUGCGGCUUUAUUUCCAUUUAAAUUGGAAAUAAUGUCCAGUGCCUUUAUUUCCAUUCCAAUUGGAAAUAAAGUCACAGUGACGUUAUUUCCAGUGACGUUAUUGCACCCCACCGUUCAAAACAGCAUUAGAACGAAUGCCAUCGGAUACGCACAAAUCUGUCAUAAGAGCGGAUUGUACCCCAACAGGUGAACAUGUGCGAAGAUUCAAUGCACCAACCGUUAAUGAUGUUCUUGCAAUUAUUGUUGGCGAUCCAACUAAAUCGCGAGACAUUGUCGUUCAGCGAAGAAGCAAUAUCAUGCAUCGUGUAAACGUGACACAUCGUUUGUACGAUGCGUUACAAUAUCCAAUCAUUUAUUGGACGGAUGCGACAUCACGUUGAAGAUGGUCGAUCCAAUUACAGGCGUAUCAACGAAUAAAAAUCUAAGCGCAAUGAAUUACUAUGCAUAUCGUAUGAUGAUUCGUACAAAUGAAGAGAAUGUCAUUCUGAAGUGCUGUCGGCUUUUCCAGCAAUUCGCUGUCAACAUGUAUGUCAAAGUCGAGACCGAACAUUUAGCGUUCAUCCGAUUCAAUCAGGCAAAGCUACGAUCAGAGGACUAAAUACACUUGCGUGAUGCUAUUCAUUCAGAUGGUGAUGUUCAGAAUAUUGGACUUGUGACGAUUCUCCCAUCAUCUUAUGUAUAUCGGAAGCCCACGCCAAAUGCACGAACACGCUCAAGACGCGAGGACGUACGUGCGAAAUUAUGGAACUCCGGAUUUAUUUAUUACGUUAACAUGCAAUCCGAAGUGGACGGAAAUUGAACGUGAGUUGGAACCGGGACAAAAACCGCAAGAUUGCCAUGACAUAAUCGCCAGAGAAUUUCCGCAAAAUCUAAACGUUGUGGUGGAUGUGCUGAAAUGUAAUUGUAAUGUAACGAUGCAAUUUGGUGGCGAAACGGAGUUCGCCGGGUUUUCUAGUUGAAUAUACAAUUAUACAGAAGCAUUUUGCCAAAAGCAAUUAUUUCAUAACUUGUGAUUUGAAAAAAAAUAGUAAGACUAAUAAUUAAUCUUAAUCUGAAUUAAAUGAAAUUUAAAAACA
Bactrocera neohumeralis is the source of this 1930-nucleotide long non-coding RNA. RefSeq lists it as uncharacterized. NCBI's taxonomy places the organism in Eukaryota, Metazoa, Arthropoda, Insecta, Diptera, Tephritidae. The transcript is spliced from 2 exons. The record is from RefSeq and is a predicted model, not a curated record.